This 253-nucleotide ribosomal RNA is filed under the name uncultured bacterium. RNAcentral's name for it is "partial 16S ribosomal RNA". It matches the Rfam family "Bacterial small subunit ribosomal RNA", at positions 524 to 776 of the family's 1533-position model. The record is from RNAcentral.
UACGUAGGGUGCGAGCGUUGUCCGGAAUCACUGGGCGUAAAGGGCGCGUAGGCGGCGUUUUAAGUCGGGGGUGAAAGCCUGUGGCUCAACCACAGAAUGGCCUUCGAUACUGGGACGCUUGAGUAUGGUAGAGGUUGGUGGAACUGCGAGUGUAGAGGUGAAAUUCGUAGAUAUUCGCAAGAAUACCGGUGGCGAAGGCGGCAUCCUGGACCGAGAUUGACGCUGAGGAGCGAAAGCUAGGGGAGCAAACGGG